CGAACGCUGGCGGCGUGCUUAACACAUGCAAGUCGAACGGAAAGCCCCCUUUGGGGGUCCUCGAGUGGCGAACGGGUGAGUAACACGUGAGUAACCUGCCCUUGACUUCGGGAUAACUUCAGGAAACUGGGGCUAAUACCGGAUAGGAAUCCUUGCUGCAUGGUGGGGGUUGGAAAGCUUCGGCGGUUUUGGAUGGACUCGCGGCUUAUCAGCUUGUUGGUGGGGUAGUGGCUUACCAAGGCUUUGACGGGUAGCCGGCCUGAGAGGGCGACCGGCCACAUUGGGACUGAGAUACGGCCCAGACUCCUACGGGAGGCAGCAGUGGGGAAUAUUGCACAAUGGGCAGAAGCCUGAUGCAGCAACGCCGCGUGCGGGAUGACGGCCUUCGGGUUGUAAACCGCUUUCAGCAGGGGCGAAGCUUGUGGUGACGGUACCUGCAGAAGAAGCACCGGCUAACUACGUG
RNAcentral lists this ribosomal RNA (463 nucleotides) under uncultured bacterium. RNAcentral's name for it is "partial 16S ribosomal RNA". It matches the Rfam family "Bacterial small subunit ribosomal RNA", at positions 30 to 507 of the family's 1533-position model. The record is from RNAcentral.